RNAcentral lists this ribosomal RNA (468 nucleotides) under uncultured bacterium. RNAcentral's name for it is "partial 16S ribosomal RNA". It matches the Rfam family "Bacterial small subunit ribosomal RNA", at positions 28 to 507 of the family's 1533-position model. The record is from RNAcentral.
GACGAACGCUGGCGGCGUGCUUAACACAUGCAAGUCGAACGGAAAGGCCCUGCUUUUGUGGGGUGCUCGAGUGGCGAACGGGUGAGUAACACGUGAGUAACCUGCACUUGACUUUGGGAUAACUUCAGGAAACUGGGGCUCAUACCGGAUAGGAGCUCCUGCUGCAUGGUGGGGGUUGGAAAGUUUCGGCGGUUGGGGAUGGACUCGCGGCUUAUCAGCUUGUUGGUGGGGUAGUGGCUUACCAAGGCUUUGACGGGUAGCCGGCCUGAGAGGGGGACCGGCCACAUUGGGACUGAGAUACGGCCCAGACUCCUACGGGAGGCAGCGGUGGGGAAUAGUGCACAAUGGGCGGAAGCCUGAUGCAGCAACGCCGCGUGCGGGAUGACGGCCUUCGGGUUGUAAACCGCUUUCGCCUGUGACGAAGCGUGAGUGACGGUAAUGGGUAAAGAAGCACCGGCUAACUACGUG